GUGCUUGUUUCCACAGCACAUAUACUAAAAUUGGCAUGAUACAGAGAAGAUUAGCAUGGCAAGAUUAACAUCCAAAUUGUAAAGCAUUUUA
This 91-nucleotide small nuclear RNA is filed under the name Meriones unguiculatus (Mongolian gerbil). Lineage: Eukaryota; Metazoa; Chordata; Mammalia; Rodentia; Muridae. The record is from RNAcentral.